Long non-coding RNA from Venturia canescens, 3479 nucleotides. RefSeq lists it as uncharacterized. The record is from RefSeq and is a predicted model, not a curated record. The transcript is spliced from 2 exons. Lineage: Eukaryota; Metazoa; Arthropoda; Insecta; Hymenoptera; Ichneumonidae.
UUGAAAUUAGAAUAAACGAACGGUAUAUAAACGGUAUAGGUGAGCUUUUGCAUAUGGUUGGUUUGCAUUCUUGUGAAAAUCAUCAGUUUCAAAUUGGUAUAUGAUAGUUUGAUGAUAUCAAUUUCGAAAAAAUACGGGAAGUAAGUGAAUGGAUCAACAUUUUUUGUCACGUUUAAAAUCUUAAGUUUUUGAAUAAUGCUGAGCCCAAUGAGAUCAGUAUUUUUCAAUAUUGGGAAACCUGUGUUCAUCUUGGAAAUCAUUUUUUUUCAUGCAUAAACAAAUCCUGAAAGUUUGGCACGAUACUACUCGAUUAUAACACGUUACGGUUUUUAUGCAAGUGUAUGUGUUGAGAAAAAUCUUCGAAAGUCACUUGUAAUAAUAAUGAACAAAAAAAUAUUGUGAGGUUUGCAAACUGUGCAAAAUGAUAACGUAACGACGCUGAAGUUUGCAACGUUGGAGUCCAACGAAAUGAAGGAAAAAAAACACUUGUAAUUCACCGAUUUAUUUCACGAAGCAUCGGUGUUGGUUGAAAAACCACGAAUUUGCAAAUUCGGGAGGAAAGAAAAUUGGAGAAUUACUCGAAUUAUCGGAGAGUUUUUUUUUACACCAUUUCGUUGGACUCCAACGUUGCAAACUUCAACGUCAUAUAACGUAGCAGUGCUUUGAACUCAGGCUGAAAUAACAAUGGGGUUCGACAGCUGGAUUUAGGGAAAUUUCUUUGGACAUUGGUUAGUGGUACAAAGAAAAUUUGACCAAUUUCUCACUCUAAAUAAAUCAAUAAUCCACGCUUAUUAAUCAUCUAGUGGUAAAAAGUUAAAAAAAAAUUUAAUCUAUAGAAAGUUCUUUUUCUUCUCAAGUCACAGAGUCACUAUGCUCCUUAUGCGCAAAGACACCGGAGCUUCACAGCAUAUUAAAGCUAAAAUGUUAAAAUAUUAUGGACAGAUACGCUGUAGGAGACAGCUGACAGUUGGCGGAGGAAAACGGCUGUGAAAACUUGUUAAAAGUAUGCCAACUAGUCUUGAGAAACUAAAUCGAAAUUAAUGACUCGUUUAUCAUCAUUACUUUCUAAGAGAGAAAGAUGUGACUUUUUUCAAGAGUAAUAAAAAUUGAAAUUUGUUCUUUAAGAGGGUGAAACAGGGUUUUGAAGUUUCGAAUAAAUAUUUUUUGGCAAAUAUCAUAUUUCUUGUCUGAUUCUCUGAGAUUCAUUUUUUAUACUCUUGAAAAAAGUAUUGCUUCGGGUCAAAUAUAAAGACUGCAAAGUCAGACCUACGAAUAUCGUAAUACUUUCAAUUUUAAUUUAUUCGUUAAAACAUAAAAAUUUUUAGAGAAAUAAGUUGAACUAUUUAAAAAGGAUAAAAUUAUUGAAGUUUUGACAGUAGUUUGAAUGCAAAAGAGAGCGAAAAUUAUAAUACGACUCGAACUUUGGCAUUGUGACUCCAUUUAUUCUUCAAUAGUUUACCUUUGACUGUGCCAAAAUUUCUGGUAUAAAAAUACGUUUAUGGAGGUUGUCUAAAAUAAAAGGGAAAGAAAAACAUUGGAUACAAUAUUUAAUCACCAAGGUUGCAAUUGUUUCCAAAUAAUAAGAACCAAUUUCUGGUGAGAAAUUCAACGACGAAAGUCUAGAACUUAUGGCCCCUCUGUUAAACCCUUAACCGAAUCUGAGGCAUGCAUAUAGCACAAACAACCACAAGCUCAUUGGUCUCUGUCGACCACGCUAUUUCGAGUCCAAUGAAAAGACUAAAAAUAGACACUUCAACUUGCGAAUUCAAUUAGCUAAACGCUGUGGUGGUAGUCAUAACGAAUGUAUAAGGAGACAUAAAUUGCAGAUAAAGUUCUCAAUGAAAGGAAUGAGCACUUUUCAGACUCCUAUAAGAACUCGAAAUUUUUAGGCUUUGCAAAACUUUAUAAAAUCCGACAAAUACGACAACAGAAGUUCUUUGGGCGAAGCUUGAUUAAAAAUAUUCCUUUAAAUAUCAAAUGUUAAAGACAAACCGUUAAAAAUUCCUGAAUUAAAUGAAAUAGGUAAAAAUUAGUAGAAGAAUGUUAAACUGACAAUGAGUGUAAAAUAAUGACAUCGAAAUUUUUCGCAUUCUAGUUUGUUUUUCCGUCAAUAAACUUUAUUUUGUAAACACAAGCUCUAUUUGAGCCUGGGCUUGAAACAUUGCCAGAACAGCAUCGCACUGUUUGCGAAUUUUGUUUUUUUCUUAUCAAUGGUAAUGUUCAUCCAAGAACUCCAAAGUGACUAUUAACCAUUUUCCCAGAACUCUGGGAUGAAUUCAAUUCCGAAUCGAAAACUGUGUUUUUCCUUUUAAUCCAAUAUCUUGUUAUUUCAACUUGUUUUUUUUUCUUUUAGUAUUUCUAGACAAAAUUCCAGAAUUUGAUCAACGAGAGUCUUAAAAGAUUAUUAAUUAAGGAAAAGAAAGUUAAGUAUUUGAAUAAUAAUAACAUGAAGAUCCUCUUUUUUUAUAAUACUUUUAUUGCAAUAAAUAUAAUAAACAAUAAUUAUUGUUUGGCGUUACAAUUAUUUUUUUUUCGUUUCAACAGUCAAUUCUAUACAUAUAAUAUUGGGGGGUUGGGGAAAAAGAGUGGGAGGAUUACAAUAAUUUUUUUUCUUUAGCGGAAAAUGAAGCAGAAAUUGCUUAUCUCAGUAUACGUAAUACAUUUGCAGCGUGUAGAAUAAAGUGAAAUGUGUAGAAAAACAAAAACCGAGAGCGAGUAAAGCAGCUACAAAAAAUUACGCGCACGUCAAAGAAUCGCAUCGAAAGUUGGACAAUAGCAAAGGGGAUAAGAUCUCUCUUUUUUUUUUCUAUUAUCAGAAUUGCCUUAAUUGAGGCAACCUGCGUGGUCGCGUCGAGGCAUUUGCGAUGCGCCCAUUCACGCCAUACCGGAAAUUACUUUUGCGGUUUAAAACCGUUUGACAAGCCUGUUGCUGUUGCUGUAAUUACCGAAACAAGCAAAAACAUCUCGAGUAGUGAUUACGCUCAGGAGCUAAACCAUCGUUAUUCCAUUUUUCAAAUCGUUUUUACCUCUUUCAGCGAUAUUAAUUGCCAAUUUAUUUAUAUAUUCUCAUGUUAGCCAUCUAAGAAUAUACCACGAGCAGUUUAACAAACAAAUAAAACGACGAAAUAUUGUAAAAACGAUUUUAAAACUGUAGCGCCAAUCCGGUUAGUCCGCAACGAAAUGAUUUGUAGUCACCCUGAGACACGGGAAUAGAGACGCGAAGGGAAUUUUACAUACGUUACUUUUUGGAGCUGCCAUACAGAGCGAUUUUUAUAUAACCAAUCGAUUUCUCUUCUUUUCGCCAUUUCUUUUCAUCCACAUUAUUAUUAGUUUUCUUGGUUGUAGAGUAUUAUAAUGUUGUCUCAAGUCUGUUCUGUAUGUUACAAUAAUAAAUUGCGAAUGUGAAUUGUAUUUACACAAUUACUUUAAACGAAAAAAAAAUUUUUUUUUUUUAAAGAAAGAAAAGGAAAAAAAAUUAA